RNAcentral lists this ribosomal RNA (1969 nucleotides) under Escherichia coli. RNAcentral describes it as "partial 23S ribosomal RNA". It matches the Rfam family "Bacterial large subunit ribosomal RNA", at positions 911 to 2857 of the family's 2925-position model. The record is from RNAcentral. Lineage: Bacteria; Pseudomonadati; Pseudomonadota; Gammaproteobacteria; Enterobacterales; Enterobacteriaceae.
UGUUUCGGCAAGGGGGUCAUCCCGACUUACCAACCCGAUGCAAACUGCGAAUACCGGAGAAUGUUAUCACGGGAGACACACGGCGGGUGCUAACGUCCGUCGUGAAGAGGGAAACAACCCAGACCGCCAGCUAAGGUCCCAAAGUCAUGGUUAAGUGGGAAACGAUGUGGGAAGGCCCAGACAGCCAGGAUGUUGGCUUAGAAGCAGCCAUCAUUUAAAGAAAGCGUAAUAGCUCACUGGUCGAGUCGGCCUGCGCGGAAGAUGUAACGGGGCUAAACCAUGCACCGAAGCUGCGGCAGCGACGCUUAUGCGUUGUUGGGUAGGGGAGCGUUCUGUAAGCCUGUGAAGGUGUGCUGUGAGGCAUGCUGGAGGUAUCAGAAGUGCGAAUGCUGACAUAAGUAACGAUAAAGCGGGUGAAAAGCCCGCUCGCCGGAAGACCAAGGGUUCCUGUCCAACGUUAAUCGGGGCAGGGUGAGUCGACCCCUAAGGCGAGGCCGAAAGGCGUAGUCGAUGGGAAACAGGUUAAUAUUCCUGUACUUGGUGUUACUGCGAAGGGGGGACGGAGAAGGCUAUGUUGGCCGGGCGACGGUUGUCCCGGUUUAAGCGUGUAGGCUGGUUUUCCAGGCAAAUCCGGAAAAUCAAGGCUGAGGCGUGAUGACGAGGCACUACGGUGCUGAAGCAACAAAUGCCCUGCUUCCAGGAAAAGCCUCUAAGCAUCAGGUAACAUCAAAUCGUACCCCAAACCGACACAGGUGGUCAGGUAGAGAAUACCAAGGCGCUUGAGAGAACUCGGGUGAAGGAACUAGGCAAAAUGGUGCCGUAACUUCGGGAGAAGGCACGCUGAUAUGUAGGUGAAGUCCCUCGCGGAUGGAGCUGAAAUCAGUCGAAGAUACCAGCUGGCUGCAACUGUUUAUUAAAAACACAGCACUGUGCAAACACGAAAGUGGACGUAUACGGUGUGACGCCUGCCCGGUGCCGGAAGGUUAAUUGAUGGGGUCAGCGCAAGCGAAGCUCUUGAUCGAAGCCCCGGUAAACGGCGGCCGUAACUAUAACGGUCCUAAGGUAGCGAAAUUCCUUGUCGGGUAAGUUCCGACCUGCACGAAUGGCGUAAUGAUGGCCAGGCUGUCUCCACCCGAGACUCAGUGAAAUUGAACUCGCUGUGAAGAUGCAGUGUACCCGCGGCAAGACGGAAAGACCCCGUGAACCUUUACUAUAGCUUGACACUGAACAUUGAGCCUUGAUGUGUAGGAUAGGUGGGAGGCUUAGAAGUGUGGACGCCAGUCUGCAUGGAGCCGACCUUGAAAUACCACCCUUUAAUGUUUGAUGUUCUAACGUUGACCCGUAAUCCGGGUUGCGGACAGUGUCUGGUGGGUAGUUUGACUGGGGCGGUCUCCUCCUAAAGAGUAACGGAGGAGCACGAAGGUUGGCUAAUCCUGGUCGGACAUCAGGAGGUUAGUGCAAUGGCAUAAGCCAGCUUGACUGCGAGCGUGACGGCGCGAGCAGGUGCGAAAGCAGGUCAUAGUGAUCCGGUGGUUCUGAAUGGAAGGGCCAUCGCUCAACGGAUAAAAGGUACUCCGGGGAUAACAGGCUGAUACCGCCCAAGAGUUCAUAUCGACGGCGGUGUUUGGCACCUCGAUGUCGGCUCAUCACAUCCUGGGGCUGAAGUAGGUCCCAAGGGUAUGGCUGUUCGCCAUUUAAAGUGGUACGCGAGCUGGGUUUAGAACGUCGUGAGACAGUUCGGUCCCUAUCUGCCGUGGGCGCUGGAGAACUGAGGGGGGCUGCUCCUAGUACGAGAGGACCGGAGUGGACGCAUCACUGGUGUUCGGGUUGUCAUGCCAAUGGCACUGCCCGGUAGCUAAAUGCGGAAGAGAUAAGUGCUGAAAGCAUCUAAGCACGAAACUUGCCCCGAGAUGAGUUCUCCCUGACUCCUUGAGAGUCCUGAAGGAACGUUGAAGACGACGACGUUGAU